RNAcentral lists this transfer RNA (66 nucleotides) under Graptopsaltria bimaculata. Its description in RNAcentral is "tRNA-Gln". The record is from RNAcentral. Lineage: Eukaryota; Metazoa; Arthropoda; Insecta; Hemiptera; Cicadidae.
UACAUCAUAGUUUAUGAAGAACAUUAAUUUUUGAUAUUAAUAGACAGUUUAAUUCUGAUUUUGUAA